UACAGAGGGUGCGAGCGUUAAUCGGAAUUACUGGGCGUAAAGCGCACGUAGGCGGCUUGGUAUGUCGGGUGUGAAAUCCCCGGGCUCAACCUGGGAACUGCAUCCGAAACUGCCUUGCUCGAGUAUGGGAGAGGGAAGUGGAAUUUCCGGCGUAGCGGUGAAAUGCGUAGAUAUCGGAAGGAACAUCAGUGGCGAUGGCGACUUCCUGGACCAAUACUGACGCUCAGGUGCGAAAGCGUGGGGAGCAAACAGG
RNAcentral lists this ribosomal RNA (253 nucleotides) under uncultured bacterium. RNAcentral's name for it is "partial 16S ribosomal RNA". It matches the Rfam family "Bacterial small subunit ribosomal RNA", at positions 524 to 776 of the family's 1533-position model. The record is from RNAcentral.